This 271-nucleotide unclassified non-coding RNA is filed under the name uncultured fungus. RNAcentral's name for it is "sequence contains ITS1". Lineage: Eukaryota; Fungi. The record is from RNAcentral.
GUAAAUGUUUAUAGGCACAAAGGCCCAUCAAUUACAUUCUAUAAACAUACAUUGGGGUAUAUGAAAAACAUAGACCUGAAAAUGUAAGAAAAGACAUCAAGUCAAUCCUCAAUCCUAAGUGCUAAAAGCAUUCAGAGAGAUUCUCAGGUCUACAAGGGGUGCACAGGUGAAGAUACAAAGAUGACAAGUGUGCACAUGCUCCCUAGAGAGCCAGCAACAACUUAUCAGGUUUAUUUCAAUAAUGAUCCUUCCGCAGGUUCACCUACGGAAA